GUGCACCUACGGGGGGCAGCAGUGGGGAAUAUUGCACAAUGGGGGAAACCCUGAUGCAGCGACGCCGCGUGAAGGAAGAAGUAUUUCGGUAUGUAAACUUCUAUCAGCAGGGAAGAAAAUGACGGUACCUGACUAAGAAGCCCCGGCUAACUACGUGCCAGCAGCCGCGGUAAUACGUAGGGGGCAAGCGUUAUCCGGAUUUACUGGGUGUAAAGGGAGCGUAGGCGGUGCAGCAAGUCAGAAGCGAAAGCCCGGGGCUCAACUCCGGGACGGCUUUUGAAACUGUUGGACUAGAUUGCAGGAGG
RNAcentral lists this ribosomal RNA (305 nucleotides) under uncultured bacterium. RNAcentral describes it as "bacterial SSU rRNA". It matches the Rfam family "Bacterial small subunit ribosomal RNA", at positions 333 to 655 of the family's 1533-position model. The record is from RNAcentral.